Molecule: unclassified non-coding RNA, 1697 nt
Filed under: Rhipicephalus microplus (southern cattle tick)
Lineage: Eukaryota; Metazoa; Arthropoda; Arachnida; Ixodida; Ixodidae
Description: sTAM-binding protein-like, transcript variant X3
Source: RNAcentral
AUUUUGCUCACUUAAAGCGAUUUACUUUAACAAAAAUAAUAUUUCUGACGUUUCAUAUAAGCUACGCGAGAUUAACGCUUCUAAUUACAAACAGUGCAAUGUAAUGGCCAGCGCUUGGCGGAAGUAUUGGCGCUAGAUGACUCACCGCUCGGAUUGAGAAGUGUAAAAAAGAAUCAACGCUGAUAAGGUCGGGGAGCACGCUCUGGCACGUAGGAUGCUAUCUGCUAAAAGGCUCUUCAGGUCACGUGAACCCAAGUACAAAUUAAAAGUUCUGAGUGAAUUGGCUAGCACAAUUGAAAUUGACAAAGACAUACCCUUGAAGCGGUACAUCAGGUCUGGCAAGGAGAUGUUGCGAUCGGCUGAAGUAUAUCACAAGGAAGGAGACAUCGAGAGAAGCUAUAUGCUUUAUAUCAAGUAUAUCACACUGUUUGUAGAAAAAAUAUAUGAUCACCCUGCUAUGAAGGCACCUCCAGUACCUGAGUUGGCCGAAGUAAAGAAGAAAUUGAAUGAAGUUUUUCCUAUUGCCGAAUAUUUGAGAGCUCAGAUCUUUGAAAAGUACACCGAAGAGUACAAUAUUUUACUCAGAAACAAGGAAAAAGCAGAUGCCGAAGCAGCACUUGAGGAAGAGCGUAGACAGAAAGAGCAGCUGGACCAGCUUAUGUAUGAACAACAUGAACAAUUCGCGUUGCAGCAACGACAACAACAGGCAAAGAUGGCCCAGCCUAAGAGGCCAGAGAUUCAGCUGCCCCCGCCUGGUGGUAUAUCUCCUUCUAAUGUUUACCCAGUGCUCCUUGAGAUGGAGAAUGGUGUUUGUGGCACUCCUCGGCCCAAGACGCCUCCUUUCCCAACUCUGAGCGACAUUGAAGUGCCAGACAUUCCUCCUAGGGCUUCAAAACCUUCUGCUUUUCCCUCGGCACCUGUGGAUGUGGUAAGGAGGGCAAUUCCAGCCGUGGAUCGGAGCACGAAGCCGUUGCCGUUGCUCAGUACAGAGCCCUACUAUUCUACGGCCCAGGGGCUACGAACUGUUGUUUUGCCAGGAAGCCUUGUCUCCAAGUUUCUUCACAUUGCUCGACAAAAUACUGAGAAGAAUAUUGAGACGUGUGCUAUUAUGGCAGGAAAGUUAGCAAAGAAUCAGCUGAGCAUCAGCCACCUUUUGGUACCAAGGCAGUCUGGAACUGCCGAUGACUGCUGCACGGAAAGUGAAGAAUUAGUGAUCGGGUUUCAGGAUGAGCUGGGCCUUGACACGAUUGGAUGGAUACAUACCCACCCAACACAGACUGCUUUUUUGUCCAGUGUAGACCUCCACACCCACUGCAGUUACCAGCUGAUGUUGCCUGAAUCUGUGUCAAUAGUGUGCGCUCCAAAAUAUGAUGAGAACAAAAUCUUCAGCUUGACUUUUGAUCAUGGUUUGCCAUUCAUCUCUGGAUGCCGUGCUACUGGUUUCCAUCCACAUCCUAAAGAGCCACCACUGUAUGAGGUUCAGAAGUACAGUCAACAAUGCCGUUAAUAUAUACAUGUUAAAUAAUAAACGUCCAAGAACACUUCCUUGGGGAACGCCAGAAGUUACCGGAAGAAUACUUGAAGAGCAGUUAUCGAUUGCAAGGAACUACCUACGGUUAGUAAGGAAUCUAGGCAUGUCAAGGUGGAUGACAACGCAGCGAUCACAGUGGUGGAUUUUCGAGGAUGAAAAUGAGCAU